Molecule: long non-coding RNA, 3610 nt
Filed under: Equus caballus (horse)
Lineage: Eukaryota; Metazoa; Chordata; Mammalia; Perissodactyla; Equidae
Description: lncRNA (ENSECAG00000050169.1)
Source: RNAcentral
GCGGUGCGCUCCCUGCCCUCCCUCAGGCUGAGUCCAGGCUGGGUCCUGAGGCGUGCAGGAGUGUGCGCACAGACUUGCUGCAUUAUCGCGGUAAGUCCUGCUGCUUUCUAAAUCUUACCAGAAUGUCCUUUAGAAAAAUGGUAAGUCUCUCCUGUAAUAUGGCUUCAUGUUCCAGGCUGCAAAGAGAUUAUCUAGUUUGUUUUUUUUUUUAAGCUGUAUUUUGGUAUCAGCUCAUUUCUUGGAUUUUAUCCAUUAAUACUAAAAAACUGCUUGGUCAUGAGUGGGGUGGCAGUUUUCUCUUUGAUACUUUGAUGGAUACUUGCUACUUUGGUUUUCAGAGUGUUGUUCUUAAGACUUCCUAGAAAAUUGAGAGUCUGUUAGUGUGUUGUGUAUUAGAGAGAGGCUGCUCAGCUUCUCGUAGGCAUUGAACUUUGGGUGGUCAGAGAUUACAGAUGUUCCUAAUUGGUUUGGAGAAUUAAAAUAGCUCGCGUUUUUGAGCAUCAGAUUUUAGAACCCAGCAGGUAAAUUUUAUUCCAGUGACAUCAGAUAAUAAAAUCUUUUUCUUAAAACAUUUCACACCAAAGCUACCAAAGGAAAAGUGAAAAGUGACAGUCAAAAACGAGAAGCGAAAGUUCCCAAAACCUGGCUGUUUUGUUUAGUGCUUCAGAAGGAAGAAUAUCGGCACUGCAGUCUUCGUAUGCUGGAAUUAGCUUCACGGUCCAUUAAAAGAAGCACAAAUUUAGCUUUGUAUAUUGCAGUCCUUCAUAUUCAGAGAUGACGCAAGUUGCAAAGAAUUUUGAUUCAUCUUGCUUAAGAUAAGAGUGUGUAUAACAAGCUGAAAUUAUGACUUCUUAGUGUUGUCAGCUUUUUUAUUUUGUGCCCUUGGUUUCACUGCUGUGUUGUACUUAAUUAUACUUAUACUAGAAUCAUAUUCUGUGCUGUUCCAGGAGACCAUUUCAAAACCUUUUCUCAUGAGGUUGAGCAUUCUUUGAUGGCAUCAAAACAAAAUAACAAGCACAUGAAAGGAGAUUUAGUUGCGACCAUGAGAAAUAGAAUAAAAGAGUUUCAAUUCUCAUGCUUUUAGUUAUAAUUCUCUUUAAAAAGAAAGAAUGAAAAAAAGAAAACCUUAACAUUUAGAUACUAGGACAUGGCAUGUAUAUUACAUAGUAUUAUGUUAUUAAGUCACAUAUAUUUUGUAAUAACUGUUUCCAAUAACCCAAUUAAAGAAAACUCAUCAGACGAUGGGGAGACUCCUUUGCAUGUAGCUCUUAAAAAGUAACUUUGAAUAGAAAACUCCAAAAUUAACUGGAACGUGUGCUCUAUUAUUUAGGUCUCUUGAAUUAUUUUUCAAUUGUCUUACACCCACAAGACCAUCUUUUCUCCAUGUAUUUUUAUUCUGAUAUCAUUUAGGCCUUUUUCUGUUGCAGGUAAUAGAAAGUUCAGUGGAAACUGGUUCAAGCAAAAAGGGAAUUUGUGGGGUCAUGUAACUAAAAUGUCUGGGGAUAAAUCUGGCUUCAGGCAUAGCUUUAAGCAAAUACUCAAAGAAUCUCAUGAGGACCUAGCUAAUUUGUCUCAGCCUCUCAAAUGUGUUACUUCUGGGUUGGCCUCUUGGUUUCUAUAAACUCAAUUUCAAAUCCCAUGGAGAAAACAUAAAGAAAAUCACUCUGAGAGUAGUCCCAGCCAGAAACCCAUUGCAUCUCAUUGGCUCUGAUUUUGUCAUGAAUUGCAUUGUCAUGCAUUUAUCUCUACGAAAAAUGCAGAGAAUUAAUGGACUUAGGUCUAAAAGUUCUGUGCUUUAUCCCUGGUACCAAAGUGUGGGUCGAAUCCACUCAAACUCGGGGACAAAAGAAAACGGGGUGAAUCCUCAAACUGUUCUUGCUUACACUAAGGUGAGUAGAUGCUAAGAAGCCAAAAAUAAAUUUAAAAAUAUCUACUUUGCCUUCUUUAUCACUACAUAUUUUUUUCUUUGAAAAAGAUUCUCUUUCCCCUCUUUGGAAUGGUAUAAUGAACUUGACUGGUUCUAUUCCAUCAAAACUGACCACCGACGUGGCCAGGAAGCAGGGUACGCAAGGUAGUGAGAUGCGGCUGUGGAAACUUCUAAUAUUUCUUUGAUUUGUUCCAAAAUACUUGAGCCAACAAACCUGGGAUUAGAAAUGGUAGAUAAAAGCAUCAUAUUUUAAUCAUUUUUACUUCUUUCUUCUGCCCUUCUUUGUAUCUUUUGUAUGUUUUGUAUGAUCACUAAAUAAAAUAAGGAAAUAGUGUUGAGACUUUGUUCUGCUUCUGAUGUCAUUCUUGUUUUAAAGAUAAAGUCAUUAAAUACAAGAACAUUGUGUGUGGGAACAGAGCAUCUAAAGGUAGUUUGUUUCACAUAUGAAAGCUAACUUAAAAGAAUAACUUUCUUCUGAACACAUAGCAGUUGUUAACCCAUAAAUUGUCGACUUUAACAUCUUUUAAUUAUCACUUUCUAUUCUCUACUUGUAUUAAAGGUUUGUAUCCAGGCACUAUAGGUUGAUGGAAAUUGUUUUUUCAAAUUAAAGGAGAAAUUCAUUAUUUUAAAUUUCUUUGGAAUCCUAUAGAGUUUACAAAAUGUGGCUAGUGCCCCUGGAAUUGUACAGCACCAAAAUCUUAGAGCCGAUGUUCUAGAUCCCAGACUUUAAUCCCAAAGUGCUCCGGUUGCCACUAGAAAAAAAGAUGAUUGUUUCUUUUAAAAUGUAAACUACCACUACCUAGAGAAUUAAGCAGUGAGCAAAUUCCUAAACAUGUUAUAGGCUUUAUUAGAGAGUAGACUCUAGGUUUUGGCAGCCCCUUUGGAUGAAACUGGACAUUUUUAUACCAGCUUUGAACAUUGUUAACCUAGAUGAAGCCAAACUACACAGUUCAGUGGAAGCCCUAAAUAAUCUUUCUGAAAGAUGAUGUACUUCAUAAGAUCUAGAUUAUUCCAUUUUUGGUUAAUGUUUUUCUUUUUAAAAGUUCCAUUUUUCUUUUGAAUAUAGGGAAAUUAUGCCAAAAGUAAUAAUGUAAAUGUGAGGUUAAUAAGAUAAAAACUGAUUUACUGCAUUAAUAUUUUCUCCAUUUAAAGUGCUACACAAUGUAUUUUUGAAGAGAAAGAUGACUUUGUAGGAUGAAAAUACAUGUUUCAUAAUUUCUCAUUAGAUAUAGGAUUAUUAAAAUAUAUCAGUAAUAAAAUUCUGCUUGAAAACUAUCCAUUUUUCCAUUCCUCAAAGUACCCUAAACCAAGUUUUGCACAUAGUAAAUACUCUGUGUUCUUAACUGGUGAAUAAAGUUAUAAAGAAGGAAUGAAUAAAUGACUUUUUUGGAAGACAUAUUUUUGUACCUAAAUUCAAUAUAAAAUAUGAGAAAAUUUGAAAAUGUAAAUAAUAAAAAAGUGCGUGUUCUUCUAAUCAUAAAAUUAUAACAUAUUCAGAUUAUGAGACUCAGCAACAAUUAAACUGGUAGGAAUACGUAAAUGGUAAUUUUUAUAAAUUGUUAGAGGCUGAGUAUGGACUGCCACAGAGUGAGAAACUCCUGGAGGCUGUAGUCUUAUAGGGGGCUCUCACUCUUUCAAUGGGAUUUACCUCCAUUAAGUAUAUCAGAUUCUCAAAAUGAAGAG